GUGGAGCAACUGCCUCUAUGCCAGUCUAGCUUCAGUUUAGAUCCCUCUGUAGAGAUGGGGUUCCACUCUUCUUGUACAUGGAACCUUGAGAAGUUCUCUACUUCCUGAACUCAUCUCCUUCUAGAAGGUUCUAUAGGAAUAUGGAGUUGGGAGAACGCAGGACCAGUGACCUCAGGAAGGCAGGAGGCACUCUUGUAGGGAGAGACUGGAACUGUUAGCUCUGCAAAAGCCUAAUUCUACAAAGAUCAUCUCAUUUCCGUAGAAAAAAAUGGAGUCACUGCUGUAGCAUCAGGCAUCUUUGCUGGAUGUCAUCUUCCUGUGUCCGCACAUGCCUGGCACGUACUCACAUUCAGUCUUCAUAGGCACUAUACAUAUAAGGCCAUGCUAAAGGUGAAAAACGGGUUUAGAAGUGACUAUCACCUUUCUCAGCAACAGUGGAGUCAGAAUUUGAACUUCGGACUCAAAGACUACCCAUUCCCACUGCAAUAUCUCCCUGGCAUGGAGCCGUGAAGCCUCAGUUGUUUAAUGGGAAUUAGAAAUUACUCUCAACAUUUAGAAAUGCCAAGAUCAAAUGACACAAGCAUUUAACACAGUGGUUCUUAAGCUGUGGGCUGUGACCUCUAUGGGGGUCAUAUAUCAGAUAUCCUGCAUAUCAGGUAUUUGCAUUAUGAUUCAUAACAGCAGCAAAAUUGUGGUUACUAAAUAGCAAUGAGUUGAUUUUAUAAUUGGGGUAACCACAAAUAUAAAGAACUGUAUUAAAGGGUCACAAC
RNAcentral lists this long non-coding RNA (770 nucleotides) under Mus spicilegus (steppe mouse). RNAcentral's name for it is "lncRNA (ENSMSIG00000020628.1)". Lineage: Eukaryota; Metazoa; Chordata; Mammalia; Rodentia; Muridae. The record is from RNAcentral.